Vigna umbellata (rice bean) is the source of this 562-nucleotide non-coding RNA. NCBI's taxonomy places the organism in Eukaryota, Viridiplantae, Streptophyta, Magnoliopsida, Fabales, Fabaceae. The record is from RefSeq and is a predicted model, not a curated record.
AUAGAGAAUUUCAUUAAAAAUGCUAAUGAUAUAAAUUUCCAUGUGGAUAACAGAAAUAAAAUUAUUUAAAAAUUUUGCUCUUAUUUUGUCAAAUCUUCUCCGCAUCUUGCAAGAAAUGCCAAGUACAAACAGUCUUACUUUGUCAAAUUUGCUCUUAUUUUGGUCUUGUGUGGUUCAAGCUCUGAUUUAAAUCAUUUUGGGUGACACGCACGGUCAAAAAUAUUUUGAGGAUGAAUAGAAAAUUUGGUGGUGGAAGGCCGCCGACAGGGACUCCUUCACUGGCUUGGUCCUGUGUGGUUGUUGUCUGCUCUCUUCUUGCCGGUGCUUCCGUUGUUCACAAUAUCUAUAAGCCUAAUCUUACAUUGCCUCCGGUCGAUGGAGUUGAUAGGACGAAGCAGAAAACUGAUGAGAAAGAAUGAUCAUCUUCCCCAGAAUUCCUUUAAAAUUCGUGAGAUACCAAUCUCUGGAGCUUAAAGUUAAUAAUCAUCAGUAGUCUGAUAUACAAAAGUACAAAGGAUUCAGUUUGGAUGAGAAUAUUAUUUCAUUUAUAAAUUCCUUUGGA